RNAcentral lists this ribosomal RNA (587 nucleotides) under Aureobasidium pullulans. Its description in RNAcentral is "eukaryotic LSU rRNA". The stretch from base 213 to 366 matches the Rfam family "5.8S ribosomal RNA". The record is from RNAcentral. Lineage: Eukaryota; Fungi; Ascomycota; Dothideomycetes; Dothideales; Saccotheciaceae.
CUUCCGUAGGUGAACUUGCGGAAGGAUCAUUAAAGAGUAAGGGUGCUCAGCGCCCGACCUCCAACCCUUUGUUGUUAAAACUACCUUGUUGCUUUGGCGGGACCGCUCGGUCUCGAGCCGCUGGGGAUUCGUCCCAGGCGAGCGCCCGCCAGAGUUAAACCAAACUCUUGUUAUUAAACCGGUCGUCUGAGUUAAAAUUUUGAAUAAAUCAAAACUUUCAACAACGGAUCUCUUGGUUCUCGCAUCGAUGAAGAACGCAGCGAAAUGCGAUAAGUAAUGUGAAUUGCAGAAUUCAGUGAAUCAUCGAAUCUUUGAACGCACAUUGCGCCCCUUGGUAUUCCGAGGGGCAUGCCUGUUCGAGCGUCAUUACACCACUCAAGCUAUGCUUGGUAUUGGGUGCCGUCCUUAGUUGGGCGCGCCUUAAAGACCUCGGCGAGGCCUCACCGGCUUUAGGCGUAGUAGAAUUUAUUCGAACGUCUGUCAAAGGAGAGGACUUCUGCCGACUGAAACCUUUUAUUUUUCUAGGUUGACCUCGGAUCAGGUAGGGAUACCCGCUGAACUUAAGCAUAUCAAUAAGCGGAGGAAAA